RNAcentral lists this long non-coding RNA (539 nucleotides) under Pan troglodytes (chimpanzee). Its description in RNAcentral is "lincRNA". Lineage: Eukaryota; Metazoa; Chordata; Mammalia; Primates; Hominidae. The record is from RNAcentral.
UUAACAGCUCGCACAGCGUUCCUGUUGACGUGUUGUUGCUGAGAGCACUUUCCAGUAAUCUUUCUGAACACAAAUCACCAGCUCAAUCUGUUUCCUGGGGAACUUGAACUACAACAGAAUGAUACUGGGGAGUUUGCAAAAUCAAACUAAACAUAGGCAGCACGAAGGACACAAAGCAGGGGAGCCCCAGAAAUCUUAGUGGUAGAAACCUUUAAACCUCUUAGGGUACCACCAGGGUAUCUCUGCUCAAUAUUUAAAUCCCUGGAAGGGAGCCUCUGAUUGGCCUUGUUUGGGUUGGGAAUCAGGGCCCUGUGAUCAGAACUACCUGGGAUAGUGGAGAGGAAAGAGAAGCAACCUGUGUCUUCCAGACCAUGGUAUCUGAAGUUUUCUUGGAGGAAGUCAAAUAAAUAUGUGGGUUGAGGAUGGGAGCUCUAAGCAGAGGAUGUGGUGGCUCAUUUAAGAUCACACAUUGACAAAGAGCAGAGUGGUGUCAAGAUUCUGGGACAGAGGCAAGUUAGAGAUAAAACUCUUGUUUUUCC